RNAcentral lists this ribosomal RNA (440 nucleotides) under uncultured bacterium. RNAcentral describes it as "partial 16S ribosomal RNA". It matches the Rfam family "Bacterial small subunit ribosomal RNA", at positions 338 to 795 of the family's 1533-position model. The record is from RNAcentral.
CCUACGGGAGACAGCAGUAGGGAAUAUUGCUCAAUGGGGGAAACCCUGAUGCAGCAACGCCGCGUGGGGGAUGAAGGUUUUCGGAUCGUACACUCCUUUUGUUCGGGAAGAUAAUGACGGUAUCUAACGAAUAAGCACCGGCUAACUCCGUGCCAGCAGCCGCGGUAAUACGUAGGGUGCAAGCGUUACUCGGAAUCACUGGGCGUAAAGAGCGCGUAGGAGGGAUUGCAAGUCAGAUGUGAAAGCCCAUGGCUUAACCAUAGAACUGCAUUUGAAACUGUUAGGCUAGAGUAUAGGAGAGGUAGGUGGAAUUCUUGGUGUAGGGGUAAAAUCCGUAGAUAGCAAGAGGAAUACUCAUGGCGAAGGCGACCUGCUAGAACGUAACUGACGCUGAGGCGCGAAAGCGUGGGGAGCAAACAGGAUUAGAUACCCUAGUAGUC